Non-coding RNA from Panaeolus papilionaceus, 73 nucleotides. The record is from the annotation of a GenBank genome assembly. Lineage: Eukaryota; Fungi; Basidiomycota; Agaricomycetes; Agaricales.
UCCUUCUUAGCUCAGUUGGUAGUGCACGUCACUAGUCAUGACGAGGUCAGUCGUUCGAGUCGGCUAGACUCAU